UCUACUAAAGGAUACCAGACAUCCGUUGGUCUUAGGAACCAACACCCUUGGUGCAAGUCCAAGUAGUAGAA
This 71-nucleotide transfer RNA is filed under the name Lichanura trivirgata (rosy boa). Its description in RNAcentral is "tRNA-Leu". Lineage: Eukaryota; Metazoa; Chordata; Lepidosauria; Squamata; Ungaliophiidae. The record is from RNAcentral.